UGGAUUAUAGUUAUGUAUGCAGGAGUGCCCACAUACUUUGCGAUACCUUAUGACUUUAUAUUUGGAAAUGUGCACACAUGCACAUUCAUGAAAGACAGAGAUGAUGAAUGUUCUCAUUUGAGUUAGAACCAAACACAGGGAGAGCAACCGAUGGGAGUUUUGUUAUUACAGUUCUGGUCUGACAUAGGCACUGGAAAAU
Non-coding RNA from Erinaceus europaeus (western European hedgehog), 199 nucleotides. Lineage: Eukaryota; Metazoa; Chordata; Mammalia; Eulipotyphla; Erinaceidae. The record is from Rfam.